This 1027-nucleotide long non-coding RNA is filed under the name Macaca fascicularis (crab-eating macaque). RNAcentral describes it as "lncRNA (ENSMFAG00000050416.1)". Lineage: Eukaryota; Metazoa; Chordata; Mammalia; Primates; Cercopithecidae. The record is from RNAcentral.
UUUUUUUUUUUUAAAUGCCCAUACAGAAUAAAGGCUGCCCUUCUCAGCCUCUCUAGUGGUUACAUGUGGCUAUGUGACUCUGUGGUAGCCAGUAGGAGGUAAGCAAUAGUAUGCUGUGCCACUUCCAGAAAGUACCUUGAGAAAGGAGUGUUGUGUCCUUUGACCCUUGCUCUGUGUCUUGUUGGCCGGAAUGAGGAUGUGAUGGCUGGGGCUAAGGCAGCCACUUUGGAUUGUGAGGACAGUGGCUGCACCAGAGGGAUGAGGGGGCUGUGAGUCUGCAGAAGCCUGUAACCUGGUAACCUGGAGGAACUGUCCCACACAGCCUGGACUGCCCACUGCCAGACUCCUGCAUGAGAGAAGAAACCAUGGGUUUCAGUCUGCGUGUAUUUGUUUUUGGUCUCUCUUUGUUGAUCCUGACCCUAAUGUUAUCUCCAGAGUGAUUUUUCGGCUGUGCUUCAUCUCUGGGAGCCUGAGGCCUCAGAGUGUGAGGGAGUGGGGGUAGAGGUGGGUCCCCCUGGAGCCCAAAUGUUGGGAUGGUGAAUUGAGCCACUUAGCAGAUGAGGGCUGGGUGCUUCACGCAGUGCUGGUGCACAGGCAGAGGCUCUGCCGAGGGCUGGGCCCUGAUCCUAGGGGAUGGUGGGUGUCUCAUCGCAGUUAGGGCAGCAUCUAGCUGUGGUGGGGCCGGCAGCGAUCUCGCAGGGGAAGAGCCUAUGGGCCAGUGAGGCUGCCCUGCAUGGGCUGAGGAGGAGGCAAGACUUGAUUCACUUGGACAGGUUGGGGGGACACAUGGCCAGACCUUCUGGACCCGGGUCACUUCUCAGGGGCUGGAAAUGGUACUCCUCUGCUUUCCAGGGGAAGUAGGGGUAUCAGGGCUGCAGCUCCCACCUUCUUAUCCUUCUGUGCUCAGCCAUGCUGCUGAGAGAGAAAGAGAGACACAGACAGACAGACAGAGAUACAGAGAGACAGAGGGAGACACAGAGAGACACAAACAGAGAGAGAGGGAGAGACACAGUGAUAGAGAGAGAGA